RNAcentral lists this non-coding RNA (30 nucleotides) under Rattus norvegicus (Norway rat). Lineage: Eukaryota; Metazoa; Chordata; Mammalia; Rodentia; Muridae. The record is from RNAcentral.
UGCCUGCAAUACAUGGCUCCUUAAUUGGUC